This 250-nucleotide ribosomal RNA is filed under the name uncultured bacterium. RNAcentral describes it as "partial 16S ribosomal RNA". It matches the Rfam family "Bacterial small subunit ribosomal RNA", at positions 524 to 773 of the family's 1533-position model. The record is from RNAcentral.
UACGGAGGGUGCGAGCAUUAAUCGGAUUUAUUGGGCGUAAAGGGCGCGUAGGCGGGGGUAUAAGUCAUAUGUGAAAUCCCAGGGCUCAACUCUGGACCCGCAUAUGAAACUGUAUCUCUUGAGGGUAGGCGGAGAAAGCGGAAUUCCACAUGUAGCGGUGAAAUGCGUAGAUAUGUGGAGGAACACCGGUGGCGAAAGCGGCUUUCUAGCUUAUUUCUGACGCUGAGGCGCGAAAGCAAGGGGAGCAAAC